This 719-nucleotide long non-coding RNA is filed under the name Betta splendens (Siamese fighting fish). RNAcentral's name for it is "lncRNA (ENSBSLG00000016045.1)". The record is from RNAcentral. Lineage: Eukaryota; Metazoa; Chordata; Actinopteri; Anabantiformes; Osphronemidae.
CUCAUAUGUUCGAUCCUGCUCUUGGUUUUAGCAGCUUUCCGCGUAAAUGCAGAUCUAAUUCCAAUGCACACAAAGGCACAGCUGAUAUUUCGCAGUGGAUUCGUCACACUGACCAGGUGUGUCUCUGAAGAUUAGUCCAUUUGCCUGUUUCCUCACUUUGACAAGAGGUGGUCAAGGUUUCCUCACUACAUUUGUCCUACAUGCAUUUUUGCGUUGCCUGGUUGUUUGCUAACCAGGAGAAAAUCCCCUCCUGUGAUCAUAUAUAAGGUGGAACCUGACAGCACGACUCCGCUCCACCCACCUCAACUGAGACUCUCGGCUGACGUUUCCUACGCUGUAUUUGACUGUGAAAGCAUGCUGAAGGUAGCGUUUGUGCUCGGGUGCAUCCUGUGCCUUGCUUUGGCCAAUCCUAUUGAUGAUAAGUCGCCAAAACGGGUUGCACGCUCAGGUGAACGCUAUGGCUUUAGGGGUGGUUUCAUGCCGUACAUGUAUUACCCUUCUUAUCCCCGUCCUCAAAGCAAUCCUUGGUUGUCCCUCCUGCUGGCCCAGCUUUUGAUACCACCUGCUGCCACUACAACCGUGGCCACAACUACGACAACCACUGCUAAGCCCUAAGAUGAUCAUUAUCCCUCAUGAAAACUAGAUUGAGCUGUUUUCAAUGUGUGGAUCACAAAAUCAAAUGAAUCAUGUUGACUACAGUAAAUAAACAUGAAUGUGAC